UUCAGGUGACUAUAGCAUCAGGGUUCCACCUCUUCCCAUUCCGAACAGAGAAGUUAAGCCUGAUCACGCCGAUGGUACUGCGUAACAGUGGGAGAGUAGGUAGUCGCCGUUUU
RNAcentral lists this ribosomal RNA (113 nucleotides) under Bacteroides fragilis. Lineage: Bacteria; Pseudomonadati; Bacteroidota; Bacteroidia; Bacteroidales; Bacteroidaceae. The record is from RNAcentral.